AUGAGGUGUUGUGAUGAUCUUCUCUCAAUACUUUUGUGUUAAUUUCAAGUUAGUUUCUUUUAAUUUUGUUUAUCUUUAAAUUGCCGCAAAUUUGGGGGUUUUGGAUUUUUUUUCUUAGUCAUGCGUGUAUUAAUCGGUAGUUUCAACUAUUUAACUAUUUCAUUGCAAAAUCCAUUUUAUUGUUUCAUCAAUGGUGGUUUAUAUAUUGAAUUCCAUUUAUGCAGAAUUUUGCUCAUUCAUAUGUUUUGGAAUUCAUUUUUUCAAAAUUACUUCUUUAAUAUAUCUAUACAUAAUUAGUAACAUCAUAUGAAUUCUUCACGGAGGUGGAUUCUUCUCCCACUUUGAAUUUUUCUUCAAAAAGGAAAAAUGAAUUGAUUGCGCUUGGUGGGGAAAGUAAUUAUCUUAACUCACAUGGAAAAUCAAAUUUUGGUGGUUUGGGGGGAGAAGUGACAUCAUUUGCUAUAACAAAUAGUACUAUCUUCUAUUAUUCUGUCAGAAGAAUUAUUUUGUCAAUGAGAGUAGGUAUCGUAACUUGUGGCUUACUCUCACUCCCACUCUCCUUUGUCAUUUUUCUUUUCUUAUUAUUACUCCAUGAUAUAAAAGAAUGUGAGAAGAAGAUUUGUGUGAUUGGCGAGUGAAGUGAAGAUGAAUGGAAGAGGUGGAUAGAGAUCUGGUGUGCUGGGGUACAGCACCAGCAAAGCACUUCUAACAACGUGACUUUUUUUUUUGCUGCUCCCUUUUGGUAAAUUUUUUUAAGCAUUUUUUUAUGCUCGAGGUUAUGUCAAAGUCAUUGUCUUGGAUCUUAACUGUUUGGAAUUAGUUUGCUUUUAUUAGUUUUGCUAUCCAGGGUGGGACAAUUCUUAAUUGCUUAAAUUAAGGAAUGCUGGUUUGUUUUUCAUAAUGGUUAUGCUGCACUAGCUCAUUAUUGUUGGGCUUGCCGUUUUGUUGUUUUGCUUUAUGAAUGGCAAUAUGUUUUGGAGUCAUACACUCAUGCUUAGGUGGUAGUUAUCCAUGGAUCUAUUAAGGAUGGACAUACCAAUUUGAAUAUAUGUCUACUUAAACAGAUCAUCUUUGUUUGCUAUUUAUAUACAGGGAAUCAUUCAAUAAUAUCAAGAUUUGAAGGAUUGGAUCCUGUCAUGAGGCUCAAACUUGAUUUGGUUGAGGUGAUUAUUUUUAGUUUAUUAUUUUUUUAGAUUAUUUUUUCAUGUAACUGAUAUUUUGAUAUACUUGUAUAUAGAGGUGUGGAGUUGAAGUAGGUUAGUAGGUCACAUAAAUUUAUUGAAGUUGUCUACUAAAGAAUUUAUUUGCUAUAUUAGGAUAUUUCCAGUGAUUCUAUCAUAAUCUGAAUUUUGGUAAAGAGUGUGAUCAUUUUUGCCCCACCAAGAGCAUAUCCUUGAUAGUAGAAAACUCCAUUUUAGGUGAACUAAAAACUGGAUUCAGAAAAGUCUUGUGAUCCUAAAGAAAUAAAAGUAAACAAUUUUCUCAUUGCCCCGGCUGAGAAAAAAUGCUUCAGGCAUGCAAUUCCAGAAAAAUAGGAACAUUAGAAGUGCCACUAUCAUGUUCAUUCAGAGUUAGUUAAUUAACUAUUAACUAUAACCAUGUCUCUCAUCUACCCUCCAAGCUAACACCUAAUUUAAUUUCUAAAUGUACUUGGAACAAAAAUAACGAUUAAUCCAUUGUUGUGUCCCACUAUUACCGAUGAAUUGUGAAUAAAAGAUUUGAUUAUUGUUAAUGCACAAAUUAAACCUGCUUCCUUGAAAGACUUUUAAUUUGUCUUUGUUUCGAAGCAAUGAAAUCCUUAUAGCUGAGAGGAUUCAAGGCCUUAUGCUGCAGUAGUUGUAGGAGGCUUAGUAUGUCUUCCAUAGAGGAAGCAGAGAGUUCAUCAGCCUCUGAUUGGUUGCCUUCGGUGUCAAGCAUUGCACAAGCCAUGGUGCAAGAGAGACUUGAACAAUUGAUUAGGGAGAGAAGGCUGGAAGAGAGAUGCAGGAGGCACCAGCAAAGCAGAGUCAGAGAAAGAACUAAAUUUGUUGUUAUGGUGGCAAUAAAGAAAUGUUUUUAUGAUCCAAGAGAGGAUUUUAAGGAGUCCAUGAUGGAGAUGAUAACAGCAGAUCACAUUAAAGAAGCCAGAGAUUUACCUACUCAACAAUUAUAUCUCCAUGAACUCCAAUGAGUACCAUGGUCUUAUACUUGAGCUUUUUCAUGAGCUUUGAGGAAUGUGGCAUUCUUGCUAAGUUUGUUAUAAUUGAGGAUGGAUGGCAAUCUGUUGGUAUAGAUCCUAAUGGUAUUGAAUAGAAAGCUGAUAAUUAUACAAACCGGGUCUUCAUUCAUGGAGGCCUUGGAGGGGGAAUUGACCCAACGGGGUGCAAUUGACGACAUUGAAAAGCUAUGAGAAUACUUGGAGAUUCUAGAAUGGCAGGUAUUUGGAGGAUCAUAGGAAAGCACACUUGCUCUUGCUUACAGCCAAGCUCACCCAGACAAGGGAAAUUUUCCUCUUAAGGAAGAAAGAGAUUGACUGGUUUAUGAAGGUGGUAGUGUUGCAAUAUUCCGUGAUGGACAUGGAAGUAUUAUAUUUCCAGGCUUAUAUUGACGGUGUUGAUUUUGUUUUUAUUGACAAUCCAAUACUUAGCCAUAUAGAGAAUAACAUAUAUGGUGAAAACCGAGUAGCACCAUGGAUGGAAUCUAAGCAUAAGCUAGAAAAGGAUCGUCAAGGACGUGCAACUAAUCCUGAUCUAGAUCUAGCUGACACUGAAAAGAUCUUUCGGUAACAUAUCAAGAUGCUUCAGGAAGUAAGUGACUAUGAACUAUUUUGUGUGGGUUUUUCUUAGAAGUUAUGGCUUGUGUCUAAGGCUCUCAGCAGGUUUUUGGUUUGUAAAAGAGUGUGCUUAUUGUAUGAAUCAGUAACAACAUAUGCAGUAGUUGCAUCUUCAAUUUCAUGAUUUCCUUUUUAAUUUUCUGUUUUUACACAUUCAAACUUUAUAUUAUAAUAUGGAAUUUUGUUAUUGCUGUUAAA
Arachis ipaensis is the source of this 3010-nucleotide non-coding RNA. The record is from RefSeq and is a predicted model, not a curated record. NCBI's taxonomy places the organism in Eukaryota, Viridiplantae, Streptophyta, Magnoliopsida, Fabales, Fabaceae.